AUGCUUCAAUGGCACCUACUCCUGAAGGCAGAAUGAGAGCUGCAGGUGAUGAACUCAUGCGUGAGUUUAGUGCUGAUGAUUUUUACUUACAGAAAGUAGAAGUCUUGGGGACAUAUUUGAUCCCCUGUGUAACAGUGCAGGAGUAUAUCCACUCUAACAUCUCUCAGAAAACCAAAGGGAAUGUGCCAAGUAAUGUUAGUCAGCUGUGUUUUUUCAUAAAACUCUCAAUAGUGACAAACAAGUGGGGAAAGUUGAGUGGGGAAUUCAUUUGAACCUCAGAGGUUGGUGCAGAUGAUCACUAAAAGAGCAGAUCUGAGCAGAGAAGACGUGGAAGAGGGAGCACAUCAAGGAAGAGCAUCAAGAGCACAGCAGCGCUUUCCGUAUGUGACAACUGGAAUGUUCCCUCCAGACUACCCCGUGCACAGUCACUCCACACCGCUUUCAGAGCCCAGGCAGCAGAUCAAAUGAUCAAGGAUGCAUAAAUCUUCAGCAGAAGGCAAGGCUGGUACACAAAGGAAAGAUGAACCACUGAUCUCUGGAUAUCUUCUUGUCUUGUCCUGCUGUUGGCUAUUCUCACAAUUUCAGCAGCUUUUUGAGCUUCUUCAGGAAAAUCUCUUCAGGCUUCCGAUAACCACUGAGCCAGAAGCUGACUCAAGCACAACAUUUAGGGAACUGGUAUCAGAUCAGCCCUUCCCAUGAUGAAGCCCCCAGCCAGGUUCUGAGGAACAACUGAUCAAGAUGGAGCUCACAGUUUCCCCUGGCCCAGUGAGGACAACCCCAAAAGAAAUGAAAAAUGGAGCAGCUGCACAGAAUAAUUAUAGGAAUAAUUAAUAAAUAACUUCUUAAAAAUUACUAGCAUUUUAAAGUUAGUUUCUAGAGAGAAGCUGCUGACUCUAAUAUGGCACCCAGAAAGGUUUAUUCCUAUGGAUCCAGAUGUCAAGAGAUGUUUGUAAAACUAAAGUGUCACUUUAAGAAGCU
Long non-coding RNA from Zonotrichia leucophrys gambelii, 978 nucleotides. RefSeq lists it as uncharacterized. NCBI's taxonomy places the organism in Eukaryota, Metazoa, Chordata, Aves, Passeriformes, Passerellidae. The transcript has 3 exons. The record is from RefSeq and is a predicted model, not a curated record.